CCCCAGCCCGCGCCCGCCCUGCAGCUCGGGCGUGCCUGGGUGGGGGGCGCGGCUGAGCGAGGCGGGGACCCUGGCCCCCUCCCGGGGCCUCCAGAUGAGCCAGCCCACGGCCGCCGCUCCUGUCCCCGCUCGCCGGCCGAAGCGGGGUGCGCCGGGCCCCCCAGUGGUCGCUGAGGCUGAGGCGCGCGGGCACCUUCCCAGGGCCGAGGUCGAAGCUCCGGGCUCCCCUGCGCCCUGGCCCCACCUGCCCGCCUCUGUCUCUAACACCUCCUGUCCACUCCUGUCGCUCCCUCGGGGCCCUCAUCUCAAAGAAUCAUCACGCACCUGACUCUGCCAGGCCCGGCUCCACGUGCUGGGGAAAUCGAGGGAACGGCACAACUUCCGGCCGACGUGGAGUCUACAUUCCAGACGGAGAGGCCAGGUGUGUGACAAAGCAGGCACCUGACACCGGACCUUGGGAGGUGGGACUCCAAGCCAGGGACGCAGAUCCGGGGUCACGCACUGUCCUCCCCUCCUCACAGCUAGCAGGAAGCAGGGCUCUGGAGAUAGGCGGGCGUCCCCAGCUGUGUGACUUCGGUGGGUUACUCGUCCCCUCUAAGCCUUAGUCUGUCACUGUGGGAUGGGAUGGUGACCUGGGCUCUCCAUGCGGGGAGGAGCCCACAGCGGGGCUCGCGGUGUGGCCGCCCUUCUCUGUCCCCUCUUUUGCUUGGUGGCUGCGGCAGGAAGCUGAGGGGCCUUUGCCUCCUCGGGCCCGAGGGGACACCCAGGUGGUGGGAGAGGCCUGGGGACCAGGCUGGGGCACUCGGGCGGUGCCAGGGAGGACAGCCUCCAGGGGAGGCCACCUGGGGGUCCCGUCAGCCCAGACGGGCGGCAGGAACCCACGAGGGUGAUGGUGGACAGAGGGCCAAGGGAGGGCAGGGAGGGGGACAGCUGGAGACGGAGCGUGUGGGGAGAAGAGAGCAGGGGUUCUGGGGCCACACGCUGGGGGGCCACAGGAGAGUGGCCGGCAGUGCCAAGAGCAGCUGUGGGGAGGGGCUGCCGUGGCUGGGAGGGGCACAGAAGAGUGUGAAGCUGCUGGAAGCAUCCAGAAGGAGCGCCUGCAGGUGAGAGGGGACAGCUGUGGCACCGGCGGGGUGUGGCAGAAGCAACGUUGCAGGGACCACUGAGCACGUCUGCAGCGUCACCUGACCCCAGGCCCCUGGCAUGCGGGAGAGGCCUCUGCUUCCCCGAGUGACUGAGUCCCAGGUCCUGACCUUUGAGCGCAUGACAGGAGGCCCUUUCUGCAGUCCCCAGGCCAGCCAGCGACUUCCUUCCCCUUCCCCGGCGGUUCUUGCUGUCCCCACGUGGGCUGUCAUGUGAGGCCGGCCUUGGCUCCCAGGCUGCCAGGUUCCACCGCCGGGCCCCCCUCCCCUGUCCCUGCGAGGCAGCCCCUCUUCUCGACAGCCGCCCUCCCUGCGCACACAGGCCUGCGUGUCCCCGCGGGGGGAGCCCCUUCCAGGCCCUUCGUCCCGGUCGGGGGACAGGGGCUUGUUCCCCUGUCCCCGAUGAAGAGACUCAGGCCACCCAUGGAGGAAAUUGCUCAAGGACACACACAGCACCUCCUGAUCUUGCUUUUUGCAAGUUAUGCAGAAGUCACAUCCCUUUUGGGGUGAUGAUCCCAGUCCCUGCUGCCUUCCUCCCACCUAAGGGCAAGGCUUCCCCCUCCUCUGUGGCCUGGACAGAGUCCCAGUGGGCAGGGGACCCUCCCUGAGCUUCCAGAUCCUGAGCUGGAGAAGCAGCCUUCCGCGGCCUUCCCUGUCCUUCCGGGCCCCGAUCCACUCUGUUGUUGCACCGGACAGAGACGUUCACAUCCUGAUCCCCACAACCUGUGUGGCACACGGCCCCCCAACGUGACUGAGGCAGUGAGCUUGGGGGGAGAUUGUUCUGGACUUCCCAGGGGCCGCUGGUCAGAGCAGAGAGUGGACGGUGCUGCCCUGCCGGACUGCAGAUGGGAGAUAACGCCGGAGAGGACUGCUGGUGGCCUCUUGGCACUGCAGACAAACAAGGACCAAGCAGGCGGAUCCACCCGCAGGGCCCCAGCCCUGCCCUGCAGAUGCCGUGGUACUCACCCUGUGAAACCGUGUGCAACCUCUGACUCCCAAACCGUAAAAUAAUAAGUCUGCAUCGUUCUAAGCCGCUACAUUUGCGGUCACUCAUCAGGGCUAAAGCAGUCCUUGUGUGGGGGUGACACACAAGGUGUCUAUUUGCUGCUGAAACAAAUUGCCACGCACUCAGUGGCUUAAAACAACGCAAAGCUGUAAUUUUACAGUUCUGGAGGCCAGAGCUCCAAAACGGGUCUCACUGGGCCAAAACCCAGGCGGGCAGGAUUGUGCUCCCUCUGGGGGCUCCGGGGACAGCCCUUCCCUCUGCCCCUCAGCUUCACUGCCACCAGCGUCCUCCCCCGUGGCCGGUCCCCUCGCGGAAGCCGGCCCCAGCGGCUGAGCGCUCCUCACAGCCCCGCACUCUGCUCCUGCUUUCCCUUCUCAGAGCCCCGUGACCACGUUGCUGGCGCAGAUAAUCCGGGACAAUCUCCCGGUGUUAAAGUCAGCUGUUCAGCAGCCAUGAUUCCUUCUGCCACCUGACACCGUGUGUUCCCGUGUCCGGGGGGCCAGGGCGUGGCCGUCUCCCGGGAGGCUGCCGCCCACAGUCGAUGUUCCACUGUUUUUACUGCUUGGCUGAAGACCGGUUGACCGUGUGUGGGUCUCUUCCAGGCGCCCUGUUCUGACGCAUCUGCCUACUCCUGUGUCUACACACCAUUGCCGCCGUCGGGACUGUAGCCUUAUAAAAAAAUCUUAAGUCAAGUAGGAUUCCUUCCUGAGGUCCCUGGUGAUUCACCUGCAAAUGAUAACAACUCACUAAACAGGUCUUGUUAACCCGACAUGACGCCGUUCACUUCCCGACCGCAUUCCCGGACAGCGUCACAGGAGAGGCGGAAGACCCUUAUCUCAGCUCAUGCAUUCCUGCCCGCCGACUGCUGGGCCUUCAGACCCAGCCGCGCUCUUUCAGCCAGUUGUCAACUAAAGGGUCCCUGACCCCACCUGUGACUUGCAAGCCCCCGCUUCGAGAUGGCCAAACCAAUGUACUGUACUGGUUUAUGGCUUUACCUGUAACCCCUGUCUCCCUGCAGUGUGUGAAACCAAACCGUUCCCGGCCACAGCGAGUCCACCCAAGGCUUCCUGGGUGUAGCUCGGGCUGGGGUCCUCAAAGCUGGCUCAGAAUAAAUCUCUUUAAAAUUA
Molecule: long non-coding RNA, 3275 nt
Organism: Lemur catta (Ring-tailed lemur)
Lineage: Eukaryota; Metazoa; Chordata; Mammalia; Primates; Lemuridae
Exons: 6
Source: RefSeq, a predicted model, not a curated record